RNAcentral lists this ribosomal RNA (468 nucleotides) under uncultured bacterium. Its description in RNAcentral is "partial 16S ribosomal RNA". It matches the Rfam family "Bacterial small subunit ribosomal RNA", at positions 28 to 507 of the family's 1533-position model. The record is from RNAcentral.
GACGAACGCUGGCGGCGUGCUUAACACAUGCAAGUCGAACGGAAAGGCCCUGCUUUUGUGGGGUGCUCGAGUGGCGAACGGGUGAGUAACACGUGAGUAACCUGCCCUUGACUUUGGGAUAACUUCAGGAAACUGGGGCUAAUACCGGAUAGGAGCUCCUGCUGCAUGGUGGGGGUUGGAAAGUUUCGGCGGUUGGGGAUGGACUCGCGGCUUAUCAGCUUGUUGGUGGGGUAGUGGCUUACCAAGGCUUUGACGGGUAGCCGGCCUGAGAGGGUGACCGGCCACAUUGGGACUGAGAUACGGCCCGGACUCCUACGGGAGGCAGCAGUGGGGAAUAUUGCACAAUGGGCGGAAGCCUGAUGCAGCAACGCCGCGUGCUGGAUGACGGCCUUCGGGUUGUAACCCGCUUUCGCCUGUGACGAAGCGUGAGUGACGGUAAUGGGUAAAGAAGCACCGGCUAACUACGUG